UAGAGUUUGAUCAUGGCUCAGAUUGAACGCUGGCGGCAGGCCUAACACACGCAAGUCGAGCGGAUGAGGGGAGCUUGCUUCCUGAUUCAGCGGCGGACGGGUGAGUAAUGCCUAGGAAUCUGCCCGAUAGUGGGGGACAACGUUUCGAAAGGAACGCUAAUACCGCAUACGUCCUACGGGAGAAAGUGGGGGAUCUUCGGACCUCACGCUAUCGGAUGAGCCUAGGUCGGAUUAGCUAGUUGGUGGGGUAACGGCUCACCAAGGCGACGAUCCGUAACUGGUCUGAGAGGAUGAUCAGUCACACUGGAACUGAGACACGGUCCAGACUCCUACGGGAGGCAGCAGUGGGGAAUAUUGGACAAUGGGCGAAAGCCUGAUCCAGCCAUGCCGCGUGUGUGAAGAAGGUCUUCGGAUUGUAAAGCACUUUAAGUUGGGAGGAAGAGCUGUCGGUUAAUACCCUGCAGUUUUGACGUUACCAACAGAAUAAGCACCGGCUAACUUCGUGCCAGCAGCCGCGGUAAUACGAAGGGUGCAAGCGUUAAUCGGAAUUACUGGGCGUAAAGCGCGCGUAGGUGGUUCAGCAAGUUGGAUGUGAAAGCCCCGGGCUCAACCUGGGAACUGCAUCCA
RNAcentral lists this ribosomal RNA (627 nucleotides) under uncultured Pseudomonas sp. RNAcentral's name for it is "bacterial SSU rRNA". It matches the Rfam family "Bacterial small subunit ribosomal RNA", at positions 1 to 629 of the family's 1533-position model. The record is from RNAcentral. Lineage: Bacteria; Pseudomonadati; Pseudomonadota; Gammaproteobacteria; Pseudomonadales; Pseudomonadaceae.